This 588-nucleotide ribosomal RNA is filed under the name uncultured bacterium. Its description in RNAcentral is "bacterial SSU rRNA". It matches the Rfam family "Bacterial small subunit ribosomal RNA", at positions 338 to 916 of the family's 1533-position model. The record is from RNAcentral.
CCUACGGGAGGCAGCAGUGGGGAAUCUUGCGCAAUGGGGGAAACCCUGACGCAGCAACGCCGCGUGGGUGAUGAAGGCCUUCGGGUCGUAAAGCCCUGUCAGGUGGGAAGAAACUUGUGGAUGUUAAUACCAUCCAUGCUUGACGGUACCACCGGAGGAAGCACCGGCUAACUCCGUGCCAGCAGCCGCGGUAAUACGGAGGGUGCAAGCGUUGUUCGGAAUUAUUGGGCGUAAAGCGCGUGUAGGUGGUCGUGUAAGUCAGAUGUGAAAGUCUUCUGCUUAACAGAAGAAGGGCAUUUGAAACUGCUCGACUAGAGUACGGGAGAGGAGAGUGGAAUUCCCGGUGUAGAGGUGAAAUUCGUAGAUAUCGGGAGGAACACCAGUGGCGAAGGCGGCUCUCUGGUCCGAUACUGACACUGAGACGCGAAAGCGUGGGGAGCAAACAGGAUUAGAUACCCUGGUAGUCCACGCCGUAAACGAUGGGCACUAGGUGUAGGAGGUAUUGACCCCUUCUGUGCCGAAGCUAACGCAUUAAGUGCCCCGCCUGGGGAGUACGGCCGCAAGGCUAAAACUCAAAGGAAUUGACGG